GAGCUCCGCCGACUGCCCCUUGGUUUCCGUUAUAUCUAUAUUUUUUGCUGAUUUUUGGGGGAUUUUCCGGCGCGAUCCCCGCGUCGCGCCACGCUCGGACAGGUUAGCCCUUCCGUCCCGCUAGAUGGAUGAGAUGAGGCAUC
RNAcentral lists this long non-coding RNA (143 nucleotides) under Peromyscus maniculatus bairdii (prairie deer mouse). RNAcentral's name for it is "Deleted in lymphocytic leukemia 2 conserved region 6 (ENSPEMG00000001087.2)". It matches the Rfam family "Deleted in lymphocytic leukemia 2 conserved region 6". The record is from RNAcentral. Lineage: Eukaryota; Metazoa; Chordata; Mammalia; Rodentia; Cricetidae.